GUGGGGAAUAUUGGACAAUGGGCGGAAGCCUGAUCCAGCAACGCCGCGUGAGGGAUGACGGCCUUCGGGUUGUAAACCUCUUUCAGCUCCGACGAAGCGGGCGUUUUUGCGUCUGUGACGGUAGGUGCAGAAGAAGGACCGGCCAACUACGUGCCAGCAGCCGCGGUAAUACGUAGGGUCCGAGCGUUGUCCGGAAUUAUUGGGCGUAAAGGGCUCGUAGGCGGUUUGUCGCGUCGGGAGUGAAAACCAGCAGCUUAACUGCUGGCUUGCUUCCGAUACGGGCAGACUAGAGGCAUUCAGGGGAGAACGGAAUUCCUGGUGUAGCGGUGAAAUGCGCAGAUAUCAGGAGGAACACCGGUGGCGAAGGCGGUUCUCUGGGAAUGUCCUGACGCUGAGGAGCGAAAGUGUGGGGAGCGAACAGGAUUAGAAACCCUAGUAGUCC
Molecule: ribosomal RNA, 442 nt
Filed under: uncultured bacterium
Lineage: Bacteria
Description: bacterial SSU rRNA
Rfam family: Bacterial small subunit ribosomal RNA
Source: RNAcentral